GUGCCAGCAGCCGCGGUAAGACGUAGGGGACGAGCGUUGUCCGGAUUUAUUGGGCGUAAAGCGCGCGCAGGCGGCCACGUAAGUCGGAUGUGAAAUCCCGGGGCUCAACCCCGGAACUGCAUUCGAUACUGCGUGGCUCGAGGUAGGUAGGGGAGAUCGGAAUUCCUGGUGUAGCGGUGGAAUGCGCAGAUAUCAGGAGGAACACCGGUGGCGAAGGCGGAUCUCUGGGCCUUACCUGACGCUCAGGCGCGAAAGCUAGGGGAGCGAACAGGAUUAGAUACCCGCGUAGUCC
RNAcentral lists this ribosomal RNA (292 nucleotides) under uncultured bacterium. Its description in RNAcentral is "partial 16S ribosomal RNA". It matches the Rfam family "Bacterial small subunit ribosomal RNA", at positions 505 to 796 of the family's 1533-position model. The record is from RNAcentral.